ACACCAGCGUUUCCGACCCACAUGCGUCAACAAGCCCAACCGAAGAGCAACACCGACUUAUGACAGGCCUUGGGCCCUCUCCCCCCAAAAGAUUAGCCUGUUAGGAGGGGACACCCUCAUCCUUAUAAGUCGUGUUAUGUCUCCUUCUACAACCGAUGUGGGACUAAACCCAACAAUCUCCCCCUCACACAUCGGUCACCCAUGGGCCCGCUAACACCAGUGUUCCAACCCACCUACCAUGACUGACCACCCGUGAGUCCACCGAGAUUUAUUCCGGGCACCUGGGCUCUGANNNNNNNNNNAAAAAGACUAGCCUGUUACACCCAUGAGCCCGCUAACACCAGCGUUCCAGCCAACCUACCAUGACCGACCACCCGUGAGUCCACCGAGAUUUAUUCCGGGCACCUGGGCUCUGAUACCACUUGUUACGCAAUCCCGGGUCCGCUAACACCAGCGUUUCCGACCCACAUGCGUCAACAAGCCCAACCGAAGAGCAACACCGACUUAUGACAGGC
RNAcentral lists this long non-coding RNA (515 nucleotides) under Hordeum vulgare. RNAcentral's name for it is "long non-coding RNA (HVUL_LNC016112)". Lineage: Eukaryota; Viridiplantae; Streptophyta; Magnoliopsida; Poales; Poaceae. The record is from RNAcentral.